Long non-coding RNA from Fundulus heteroclitus (mummichog), 1842 nucleotides. RefSeq lists it as uncharacterized. Lineage: Eukaryota; Metazoa; Chordata; Actinopteri; Cyprinodontiformes; Fundulidae. The transcript is spliced from 6 exons. The record is from RefSeq and is a predicted model, not a curated record.
AUUUAAUUGUUUCCUGAAGCUUGCUAGGUCUGUUGACUAUCUUAUCAGCUUUAUUGAAAACCCACCAGUACAGUUUUGACCGAGCAUUUAUUUUUUAAGAAUUUAUUGCUCUGAGUGUGUGUGAAGUUGGCUAAGUGGACGACAUGUUGAGGUGUAAUUUCUGUGGCAAGGUGGUGCAGUCAUCAAGGGGCUAUGUGCUUCACUGCAAGCUUCAUUGUAAUGAGUCAUGUUGUGUUUUUAAGUGCAAUAAAACUGACUACAAGCAAACGUUUUUUAGGUAUGGAGCACUUAAGCCUACAUUUUUAUCAAAGACACGCUGGCCCUACCAAUAUUACGGUUUUUAGGCAAGUUACCUCUUUUAAAAGUGCAAUGAAUAUGUGCCAACACCAGAGCCAAGAUGCUAAAGAGCUAAUAGCUCAUCUGAAGAGCCAUUUUGUAAAAGGACAUGUGGUUACUUGUCCAGUCAAAUGAUGCACAAGUACCUUUUAAAGUGAAGUCAUCUUUUACUUCCCAUAUGUCACAGUUAGUGAUUUUAUAUAGAGAUUCUGAGUGUCAAUCAUUAGUGACAGCAUCAGUGUGUCAUCAUUUAAAAGUGACGCAAGUUUACUCAAAUUUUUUGUUAAAGUCUGAUUUGAUACAGAAAUCAGAGGAGCCCUCUACUGAGUCUCCUUCUGAUGUUCUGUGUGACAUUAGUGAUGGUAAGUUAUUUAGGUCUAAUGAGUUCUUUAGUCAAAACCUGUCAUGUCUCAAGCUAAUACUUUACCAGGAUGCCUUUGAGGUUGCUAACCCUUUGGGCUCUGCAAGAACAAAGCACAAGAUUUGUGUAUGUAUCUUUGGCAAAUUUGCCACUUCAUGUCGGUUCAGAUUCGGACCACAUGUCCCUUGUCUUACUUUGCAGGGAGAAGGAUUUCACAGAUUUUGGUCAUGCCAAGGUCUUUUCAGAAUUACUAUCAGACAAUGGGAUUGCUGGACCAGAUGAAACAAAAGGUACUGAUCCAAAUGUGUGUGGACCACGGCGUACCAGAGAAAACUACAACUCUGCUGUGAACCAUCUGCUAAUCAACAAUACAACAGAUGUUGAUGGAGUAAAGUUUUGGUGGUGACACAGCUAAGACCUGCAUAUCUUUUCAAGAAAGUUGGUGUUCCUGACAUUUUCAAACCCCCAAGUUUAAACAACGUCAAGAAAUUAAUUCUCAAAGACUUCAGCAUGCUGUGUUGUUGUGAACAUCAUCAGAAUGAAGAGAAUGAGAAGCAAACCAGUGUUAAGAAGAUUACCUACUAAAGACGGAAUCAACCCAUGGCAGGAAACUUUUCGGGCGGAUCCUCUCGGCCCAAGGUGAAAACUCGAUGGAAAGCAAUUUGACUUCUCCAGCAGAACUUCUCUCUUUUGGUGCCAUGUACACUUAGAACCUGAUCUGUCUGAGGGCCAUCUUCAACCAAGUCCAGACUCAGUGACUUAUUACUCCUGUUCAGUGAGGGGCAAGUGACUAGUUUUCAAGUUUUUGUUCAACCAUUACCAGUGAUAUGCUACAUUGUCAAGGUUUAUAGUGAUUUGUGAUCCUGCAGACAAUAUGAUCUGUACUGUCUUCUUUCCCAGAUGUUAUUUAUAAUUGUCUCAUUGAUUUUCAGUGAUAAUCAGUACCUUGAUUAAAUUUGUGCAUCUUUAAGUUGCCAAUGUAAAAUUUACACCAAAAUAACGUAUGUUGCACAUGUACUGUAUUUUUAGCGGUAAAAUACCGGCAGCUGUGGUUGCCAGGAAUUUACCGUGAAAUUUAACUGGUCGAAAUAAAAAUGUUUUACAAUUUUACCGUGUUUUUUAUUGACACAGCCUGUAAAAAGGUU